UACCCUUUGCUUUCUAAACGACCUAGCGGCGGACGGGUGAGUAACACGUAGGCAACCUGCCCACAAGACAGGGAUAACUACCGGAAACGGUAGCUAAUACCCGAUACAUCCUUUUCCUGCAUGGGAGAAGGAGGAAAGACGGAGCAAUCUGUCACUUGUGGAUGGGCCUGCGGCGCAUUAGCUAGUUGUUGGGGUAAAGGCCUACCAAGGCGACAAUGCGUACCCGACCUGAAAAGGGUGACCGGGCCACACUGGGACUGAAACCCGCCCAAACUCCCAGGGAGGGAACCAUAAGGGAAUCUUCCCCAAGGGGCAAAAGCCGGACGGGCCCCCCCCCGGGGGGGAGAAGGUUUUCGAAC
This 359-nucleotide ribosomal RNA is filed under the name Paenibacillus sp. KS25N1. RNAcentral describes it as "partial 16S ribosomal RNA". It matches the Rfam family "Bacterial small subunit ribosomal RNA", at positions 70 to 423 of the family's 1533-position model. The record is from RNAcentral. Lineage: Bacteria; Bacillati; Bacillota; Bacilli; Caryophanales; Paenibacillaceae.